UUGAUAGCUUGCUGCGAGACCUCACACCGUGCACAUCUACUGCGGGUGUGGUGCCUGUUAGCGGACCUGGAGUUAGCAACAUCCCCCCAAAAGAGUAGAGUCCUGGCCCCUAGCCCUGUCAGCGUAGCAGAAAUGAUGACGGAUGAUGAUGGCAGCAGCAGCAGCUGUUCUCCUCUGCUGAUUCGGGCAGUACUUCUGGACUUCACCUUUAUCUUCAUCUCAGGAGAAAGUUUUGAACAGCAUCCCCCCGGGUCACAGUGAUGAUGGCAGGGUGCCAAAGGGAAGACAGCGCCUGUGGUGGAGGAGAGCAGGGAGGAAGGAAAGAAGACUCAGAGCUGGCAUAAUCACCAGGGGCAUUGAGCUAAUGAACACACCGCAGGAGCAAUAACAAUAACAACAGGAGGGAUCAGCUUCUCAACUCCUAACAGGAGGGAAGAGGACCUACUGCACAACUGUCAUUAUGGUCUUUUUCAACAACAGCAGAAACAACAGGAGAGCUGAGCUCCAAUACCAGGCAGGAGGGAAGAGAAUAUAUUCUGUAUAACUGUCGUUAAUUCAUAUUUAGAUGUUAAUUGUUUAAGUCAACCAACAGGUAUCAUAAUUGCUCUACCAAUUAAAACGCC
Molecule: long non-coding RNA, 623 nt
Organism: Oreochromis aureus
Lineage: Eukaryota; Metazoa; Chordata; Actinopteri; Cichliformes; Cichlidae
Source: Ensembl